RNAcentral lists this transfer RNA (77 nucleotides) under Laccaria bicolor S238N-H82. Its description in RNAcentral is "tRNA-Thr (AGT) (tRNA-Thr-AGT-2-1)". Lineage: Eukaryota; Fungi; Basidiomycota; Agaricomycetes; Agaricales; Hydnangiaceae. The record is from RNAcentral.
GCUUGGUAGCGUAGUGGUUAUCGCAAGGGUCUAGUGCGCACUAGAUAUGAAGCCUCGUUCGAAUCGAGGACUGAGCA